CGUGACAUUUAAGGAGGUAGUUCC
RNAcentral lists this microRNA (24 nucleotides) under Macaca mulatta (Rhesus monkey). Its description in RNAcentral is "Mml-Novel-13_5p (mature (guide))". The record is from RNAcentral. Lineage: Eukaryota; Metazoa; Chordata; Mammalia; Primates; Cercopithecidae.